Molecule: ribosomal RNA, 794 nt
Filed under: uncultured bacterium
Lineage: Bacteria
Description: bacterial SSU rRNA
Rfam family: Bacterial small subunit ribosomal RNA
Source: RNAcentral
UGCAGUCGAACGGUAACAUGAGUAGCAAUACUUGAUGACGAGUGGCGCACGGGUGCGUAACGCGUAUGCAACUUACCUUCAACUGGAAGAUAGCCCCUCGAAAGAGGGAUUAAUAUUCCAUAAUUUUAUGAUUUGGCGUCAAAUUAUAAUUAAAGAUCAGUCGGUUGAAGAUAGGCAUGCGUGACAUUAGCUAGUUGGUGAGGUAACGGCUCACCAAGGCAACGAUGUCUAGGGGAUCUGAGAGGACUAACCCCCACACUGGUACUGAGACACGGACCAGACUCCUACGGGAGGCAGCAGUAAGGAAUAUUGGUCAAUGGAGGCAACUCUGAACCAGCCAUGCCGCGUGAAGGAUGAAGGCCCUAUGGGUUGUAAACUUCUUUUAUACGGGAAGAAACCUUCGAACGUGUUCGAGGCUGACGGUACUGUAGGAAUAAGGAUCGGCUAACUCCGUGCCAGCAGCCGCGGUAAUACGGAGGAUCCAAGCGUUAUCCGGAUUUAUUGGGUUUAAAGGGUGCGUAGGCGGAAUAGUAAGUCAGUGGUGAAAGCCUGUCGCUUAACGACAGAACUGCCAUUGAUACUGCUAAUCUUGAGUAUAAUUGAAGUGGGCGGAAUGUGUCGUGUAGCGGUGAAAUGCUUAGAUAUGACACAGAACACCGAUUGCGAAGGCAGCUCACUAAACUAUAACUGACGCUGAGGCACGAAAGCGUGGGGAUCAAACAGGAUUAGAUACCCUGGUAGUCCACGCUGUAAACUAUGAUUACUCGAUGUGUGCGAUAUACAGUACGCGUCUU